Molecule: long non-coding RNA, 1732 nt
Filed under: Patiria miniata (bat star)
Lineage: Eukaryota; Metazoa; Echinodermata; Asteroidea; Valvatida; Asterinidae
Description: uncharacterized LOC119743052, transcript variant X1
Source: RNAcentral
GGCGCUGUUUACGCUUAACACUAGUUUUUCCCCUUAUUUUGCCCCAGAAUUUAUUUAUGUGAUUAUUCAAGGCAAAGGAGUUGUUGAAUAUGGCUAUUCAUGUGGCGCAUCCAUCAGUGCGAAUGAAAGGCGCUGAGGCAGACUGGACGCCCAUACAAUGCACAGACAGGGAGUGUAGCCACUCCUUGAUGAAGGCUCCGCAUCUGCACUGUCCAUUCUGCUCCCAGGACAGUCUCUUCACUGAUGAGAUUCUCCUCAAGGCGCACUACAGGGUCAAGCACGUGAAUAAAGGCAUCAACUUUGGGGGUCUUAAAAUAUUGCGGUGUUGUAGAUCCUGCAUCGUCCACGGCAUCAUUCACGGCCUACGUCCCCUGCUGGGAUGGCGAGUGUGAAAAUCUACGUUGCACCCAUGAAGAAGCAACGACCAACGAAGACAGGGAUAAAGCAGCCAAUGAUCUUUUCGGUAUGCUCUAUGAGAAAUGAAGGCAGAGAUGGACAGAGACUGUGGAAUAGAUGGAUUUCACCCAUUCCAGCUGUCGGGCAUGGCAAACCAUCAACAACUCACGGGAUGUCAACCAGAUCUUCACCACAUACACUGACCCAGCACCCAACAGUACCAGCCUGGUAACACACCUCAUAGUCCCCCAGUCACAGCAGCCAUCGGAGACGGACACAUCAUCCCCGAGCUAUGAGCAGACUGACAGGCAGCAGCCGUAGAUCGAGUACCAGUACGCCUGCAUCAAUGAUCCGAGCCAGAGCACUGCCAAUGGGGAAGUUGUCCUUAUUGAGAUACCAGACGAAGGAAGCAAAGGGAUUUGGAGGACGAGACUUGCUACACAGAGCACAACUUGUCGCUGCUGCUGCAGGAGAAGGAACGUCUGGAAAAGACUCUUGAGGAGGAGCGGACCACGUGGGCCCAGACAGAGCACAGGAUGAAAGGCACUAUAGAAAGGCUUCGUACAAAGGUUGAGUAUUUGUCCAACACAAACACGUCACUCAAGCAGCAGCUGUCCAUGAUUCACACGUCCAGUUUGAAACGUCUGACCAACGACAGCCAUUUUGCAAGAGUUACUGUAACACAUGUCUGAGGAGCACACCCAGCUGCUGCACCACCAUCUAGCAAAGCUGCGGCUGUACGCUCAGGCCUGCGCAUUAUCCAAAUCAGCCCCCGAGGAAUCUGCAGCUGAAUCUACAGUCUUGGUACCAGACCUGGCUGACCAAUCACAAGACAUCUCACACAUGGCCAUGAUGUCGUCCUCGGAGGGCACCCUUCAGAACAUGGAGCAGACAGUCGUCAUGACGAUAACGUCUGAGGAGGAUUCGGAGCCGCUCGUCAACAUCGUGGAUAACCCGGAGAUACCGUGGGAAACGACGUCUUGCCUUUGGAUAAGGACUUUCAGUUGUCACCAAAUGACAUUCCAUACCAACUGACAAGCGAGGGACUGUCACCAAGACGUGCCACCUCCGAGUCGGGUCACGUUUAUCAAUCAGGUAGAACUCAUCCACGUCACAAUACAGGCUGUGAUGUCACACAACAGGAUUUUUACAAGAACAAAAGUUUGAAAUUGGUUCUUUCCAACAGCACGCCAAAAAUACUCUGCCCCGAUGGCUUUGACAAAAGAACAUUUGAGGACAACAUGUCAAAUGAGGGACCACUAUUAAAAUGUGGGAGAACUAACAGCCUGAAAGCCACUUAACUAAAUAAAACCGGACAUAUUUUGUAAACAGUGUA